Molecule: long non-coding RNA, 2500 nt
Organism: Sarcophilus harrisii (Tasmanian devil)
Lineage: Eukaryota; Metazoa; Chordata; Mammalia; Dasyuromorphia; Dasyuridae
Exons: 2
Source: RefSeq, a predicted model, not a curated record
ACACACACUUUCCGCUAGUUCGCUGAAUUUUUGCGCGGCCGGCCACCCGCUUGACCCUCCCGCGCUUCUGCAGGGUACGCCCUUGGCUUUUCAGGGCACCCACCCAACGCCCGCUCCAAAAACACCGGCCGGCACUUCCGGGAGCAACAGAACCAGGAACUUCGGCUUUAUUUCCCCCUUCUCCCUCCCGUUACAACAGUAGUCCUAAAGAUGAUCUAUACUGAAAGAGAGAAGAGGAAGUUUGAAGCCAGAUAAUGUUUGGAAUAACUUCUACAGAGCGUGUAAUAGAAGACCAGUCAGGAAGAAUAAAAAGUAUUGCCUGCACCAAUUUUUGUCCAGUAGGGACUAGACUGCCUCAAUUUGUAGUGAAUCCAUUUGGCAAUUUUUUUCAUGCCUUCCUCAGUGUUUCAAAGCAGUUGAGGAAGGUUUGGAGCCAGAUAUGGGUGGGGGGAGUUAAGAAUUGAGGUUAAGUUAGAGUACAAAGUAUUCUCUGUAUUACAAUGGUGAGAGUACAAGGUAACAAGAGAUUCACUGGUAUCUCCAACUACUCAAGUAUAAUAUAAAGACUGAAGGAAGUGAUAGACGAUUGGAAGAAUAGCUUUGAAGAGAAUAUGAUAAAGCAAAACCAGUUGAAAUUCUUUGAAUAAUACCGUGAAAUAUAGAGAAAUCAAUGAUUCCUAUGAGACAGCAAGACUAGAACAAAAUAAAAAGACCAGAAAAGUAAAAGAGAUUUUAAGAUCUCAUGUCAAAAAAGAAAUGAUCUGGUGAAGAGUUCGAGGGAAAAGUAUUUCGAGUCAUUUGAUCCCCUCAAAGUCAUAAUAAAAAAAAAGAAAAACUAAACCCAUCCACUAUAUUGCAAGAAGUUAUAAAUGAAAUUUAACCAACUUUAUUAAAAGCAGAAGAAAUAGACGAAUCAGCCCAUUAUUUCCUGAAAGGAACCCCGAAAGAAAAAGUCCCAGGAAUAUCAAAGCCAAAAUCUUAAAAGCAUCAACGUCAAGUAAGGGGGAAAAAAAAAUACUGAAUUCAUCUAGAAAUAAGUAGUUCAAGUACUAAGUAAUUACAGUCAGCAUCCCGCAGGGUGCCAGCUUCUAAUAAAAAUGAGAGAUUUUGAAAUACAAUAUUCCACAAGCCGAGAUAAUUCUUACAGAAAAACUUACUCUGCACAACGGAGUAUUCUAUGCUGCAAGGGGAGAAAUGGAUCUUGAAUUGUCGAGCAACUCUGACGAAGAGGUCCACAAGAAUAAAGGAAAACCAGGAAAGGUGAAGUUUCAUUGAGCAAUAUUGAAAGGAGUAUAAAAGUUAAGUAGUGUUAAUAUUUGGAGAGACAGGUGUGUGUGGGGGUGUCCUUUCAAAACUUUAAUAUCUUCAAAAGGAAUUGAGAUAAAGAAAAACAGAGGUCCCAGGAUUGAAUUAGUUCUGCUGUGAAUGUCUGAAGAGGAAAGAGUUAAGGGUUCAAAAAUGUAUAUACUAGUUAUAGAAGGUAGAAAGGCUGAGGUGGGUUAGAAAUUGCUCUCUCUCAUACUUGCGGUAGUUUUAAGAAUAUCAAACAUGGAGGAUGAGGUGGGGAAUUAGGGACUUAUGAACAUUAUCUGAAAUGGACAAAGGAUGAUUAAACACACCUGAAUUUGGUUUAGAAAUACAUCAAAUCCAACAUACAAAAGAGAAGUAGGGAAGGCUAAAAACAUAUGUAGACAUAUUGGGAAGGAUACUCACAAGUAUAACCCAACUUCCUGAUCCUUAUGGAGAGAUUAAAAGGGCAAGUCAAAAGAAUAAGAAUUUAAUGGAGUACCUAUUAGAUUUCUUAGGAAAUUUCGGAAUGAUUCAAUUGUAUAAUGUUCAUUGAAUGGAAUGUUAUUUUGAUGUAAGAAAUGAAAUUUCAGAUAUGAUAGACACCUGUACAGUGAUAUGGAAUGAAGAUACCCAAUUUUAUAUAAAAUCUUUUUGAAUGGGGGAAGGGAAGAAAAGAGAAAGGAAUUGUCUUGAAAUAUAAGUAAAGGGGAGAGAUUUUAAAGACUUCAGAAGAAUUCCUGGAAAUCACUGAAAACAUUUAUUUUUAAGAUUAACAUGCAUUUUCCUGUUCUUUCCAUAUCCAUCAUCAUUUAAAAGAAAAAAGAAAAAUAUCCUUAACAAACACGUCCCACAUUGGUUAUGUCCCAAAACUUGUGUAUCAUUUUGCAUCUUGAGUCUCAUCAACUCUGUCAGGAGCUGGGAAACAUGUUUCAUCGCUCAUCCUCUGGAAGCAUGUUUGGGUUUGAUUGUAGUGAAGUUUUCAAAGCUAUUUGUCUUCCAUUGUUGUUAUAUAAAUUCUUCUGUUUUUGUUCACUCUGCAUCACUUCAUAUAGGUGUUGUCAUGUCUCAUUUCCUACAUAUGGCAUAAUAGUAUUUUAUUAUUACAUAUUACAUACAUUUAUCGCAUCAUAAUUUGUUUAGCAGUUCUUCAGUUGAUGUGUACCCCUUUCAUUUGAGGUCUUUGCAAAAAUAAAAAUUGCUGCUAUAAAUA